This is a long non-coding RNA of Apteryx haastii (Great spotted kiwi), 1113 nucleotides long. The record is from Ensembl. Lineage: Eukaryota; Metazoa; Chordata; Aves; Apterygiformes; Apterygidae.
GGUCCUUGCACAACGUUUGCACAGCGCUCGCGCUGCACCUGCAGCAGGUUUGCGUGACGUUUGCAGCGGGGUCGCGGCGCGUUUGCACGGCGCUCGCAGUGAACUCGCAGGGCGUUUGCUGUGCGUUGGCAGCUUUUCCGCCGUGCGUUUGCAGCCCGUUUGCAGUGAGUUUGCAGCGCCCGUGUGCAGCAUUAGCAGAGCAUUUCCAGUGCAAUCACACUGCCUUUGCGUUGCGUUUGCACUGUGCUCCCAGCGCAAUUGCACAAUAUUUGCAGCAGAAUCGCGCAGUAUUUGCAGCGCGAUCACCCAGCCUUCGGAGUGCCUCUGCGGCGUGUUUCCAGUGCAAUCGCACUGUAUUUGUGGUGCUAUCGCACAUCUUUUGCAGCGCAUUUGCGAUGUGUCGCCAGUGCAAUCGCACAGUAUUUGCAGUGCAAUUGCACCUGUUUGGCAGUGGCAUCACACGAACUUUGCAGUGCGUCGGUGGCAUAUUUCCAGUGCAAUCGCACAGCAUUUGUGGUGUAAUUGCACAACUUUUGCAGUGCACUCGCAGCAUGUUCCCAGUGCAAUUGCAUGGCAUUUGCAGUGCAAUCGCACAACUUUUGCAGUGCAAUCGCACAAACUUUGCAGUGCGAUAGCACAACUUUUGCAGUGCGUUUGCAGCGUGUUGCCAGUGCAAUAGCACAGUGUUUGCAGUGCAAUUGCACAACCUUUGCAGUGCAAUCGCCCUGUAUUUGCAGUGCAAUCGCACAACCUCUGCAGUGCGUUCGCAGCGUGUUGCCAGUGCAAUCGCACAGUGUUUUCAGUGCAAUCGCCCUGUGUUUGCAGUGCAAUCGCACAACCUUUGCAGUGCAAUUGCACAACUUCUGCAGCGCGUUCGCGGCGUGUUGCCGGUGCAAUCACACGGUGUUUGCAGUGCAAUCGCACAACCUCUGCAGCGCGUUUGCAGCGUGUUGCCAGUGCAAUCGCCCUGUGUUUGCAGUGCAAUCGCACAACCUCUGCAGUGCAAUUGCACAACCUCUGCAGCGCGUUUGCAGCGUGUUGCCAGUGCAAUAGCACAGUGUUUGCAGUGCAAUCGCACAACCUCUGCAGUGCAAUCGCAUGACCUUUGCAGUG